AUUGAACGCUGGCGGCAUGCCUAACACAUGCAAGUCGAACGGGGUAGCGAUACCCUAGUGGCGGACGGGUGAGGAAUGCGUAGGAAUCGGCCCACGAGUGGGGGACAACCUGGGGAAACUCAGGCUAAUACCGCAUACGCUCGUAAGAGGAAAGCGGGGGCUCUUCGGACCUCGCGCUGGUGGACGAGCCUACGUCCGAUUAGCUAGUUGGUGGGGUAAAGGCUCACCAAGGCGACGAUCGGUAGCGGGUCUGAGAGGACGACCCGCCACACUGGGACUGAGACACGGCCCAGACUCCUACGGGAGGCAGCAGUGGGGAAUCUUGGACAAUGGGCGCAAGCCUGAUCCAGCAAUGCCGCGUGGGUGAAGACGGCCUGCGGGUUGUAAAGCCCUUUAGGCGGGGAGGAACGACGGGACGCUAAUAGCGUUUCGGAGUGACGUUACCCGCGGAAUAAGCACCGGCUAACUCCGUG
Molecule: ribosomal RNA, 473 nt
Filed under: uncultured bacterium
Lineage: Bacteria
Description: bacterial SSU rRNA
Rfam family: Bacterial small subunit ribosomal RNA
Source: RNAcentral